This 505-nucleotide long non-coding RNA is filed under the name Gallus gallus (chicken). Its description in RNAcentral is "long non-coding RNA NONGGAT006913". The record is from RNAcentral. Lineage: Eukaryota; Metazoa; Chordata; Aves; Galliformes; Phasianidae.
AUCAAACACUGCCAGGUGCAGUGCUAUAUGCCUAACCUGAAUCUUCCCGGCAGAUGGGGGCCUAAACUCGAAAGCAUGCAGCUGAGGAUGAAGGCCAUGAUAGUCUGUUUUUCAUCAAAGGCUUGAGAUCACAGCAGCAGCAUGGAGCUGGAAGAACAAAAGAAGUUUGGGGCUCUGAAACAAACUGGGAGGGUAAGACAAAAGUGCAGCUGAAGAACUUGGAGAGCCGCUUGAGAAGGAGGAAAAGAUCAGGGAAGGAGGAAGUACACGUCCCCAUGCAGGGGAUGUGGAGUUGCACUCUCAUCUUGUGUGCUGCAGGAAGAGCAUCCAGCUCCAAAGCUUAUACACCAUGGGCAAGACGAAGGAAAAUUCCAGUUCUGAAUUUGCAGCCAGAAUUCAGGAACCAGAGGAAGGCGCUCAGGAGGUCAUACCUUUCAGGUUUACACCAAUGCAAAUUGCUCAUCUAGGACGGGUGUUUGGUUUUUGUUUUUUUCUGUGGAAAAAC